AUCAACAUUUCAUGUCUGUUACCAGCUGUUGUCUCCCAAAGAAAAUUGGGGAUAACUCAGUUUCAAAAGCUAGCUCAUGACGUAGAUCCAAAAAAAAAAAAACCUAGCUCAUGAAGUAAGGUAAAAUCCAACUAUAGAGACUACAACCCAUUGCCGCACCUGAUGUGGGACAUUUAAACACGCGGUACGCCUUGGACUAAACAACAUGAAGCUCUCUUAGUUUAGAUAGUGGUGUAUAGGAACGUCCUAAAAUAGGAUAUAAUCAGA
RNAcentral lists this long non-coding RNA (267 nucleotides) under Solanum tuberosum (potato). RNAcentral describes it as "long non-coding RNA (STUB_LNC007540)". Lineage: Eukaryota; Viridiplantae; Streptophyta; Magnoliopsida; Solanales; Solanaceae. The record is from RNAcentral.